RNAcentral lists this ribosomal RNA (495 nucleotides) under uncultured bacterium. Its description in RNAcentral is "partial 16S ribosomal RNA". It matches the Rfam family "Bacterial small subunit ribosomal RNA", at positions 29 to 506 of the family's 1533-position model. The record is from RNAcentral.
AUGAACGCUGGCGGCGUGCCUAAUACAUGCCAGUCGAGCGAACAGACGAGGAGCUUGCUCCUCUGACGUUAGCGGCGGACGGGUGAGUAACACGUGGAUAACCUACCUAUAAGACUGGGAUAACUUCGGGAAACCGGAGCUAAUACCGGAUAAUAUAUUGAACCGCAUGGUUCAAUAGUGAAAGACGGUUUUGCUGUCACUUAUAGAUGGAUCCGCGCCGCAUUAGCUAGUUGGUAAGGUAACGGCUUACCAAGGCAACGAUGCGUAGCCGACCUGAGAGGGUGAUCGGCCACACUGGAACUGAGACACGGUCCAGACUCCUACGGGAGGCAGCAGUAGGGAAUCUUCCGCAAUGGGCGAAAGCUUGACGGAGCAACGCCGCGUGAGUGAUGAAGGUCUUCGGAUCGUAAAACUCUGUUAUUAGGGAAGAACAAAUGUGUAAGUAACUAUGCACGCCUUGACGGUACCUAAUCAGAAAGCCACGGCUAACUACGU